GAUGAACGCUGGCGGCGUGCCUAAUACAUGCAAGUCGAGCGAACGGACGAGAAGCUUGCUUCUCUGAUGUUAGCGGCGGACGGGUGAGUAACACGUGGAUAACCUACCUAUAAGACUGGGAUAACUUCGGGAAACCGGAGCUAAUACCGGAUGAUAUUUUGAACCGCAUGGUUCAAAAGUGAAAGACGGUCUUGCUGUCACUUAUAGAUGGAUCCGCGCUGCAUUAGCUAGUUGGUAAGGUAACGGCUUACCAAGGCAACGAUGCAUAGCCGACCUGAGAGGGUGAUCGGCCACACUGGAACUGGGACACGGUCCAGACUCCUGCGAGAGGCAGCAGUAGGGAAUCUUACGCAAUGGGCGAAAGCCUGACGGAGCAACGCCGCGUGAGUGAUGAAGGUCUUCGGAUCGUAAAACUCUGUUAUUAGGGAAGAACAUAUGUGUAAGUAACUGUGCACAUCGUGACGGUACCUAAUAAGAAAGCAACGGCUAACUACGUG
This 497-nucleotide ribosomal RNA is filed under the name uncultured bacterium. RNAcentral's name for it is "partial 16S ribosomal RNA". It matches the Rfam family "Bacterial small subunit ribosomal RNA", at positions 28 to 507 of the family's 1533-position model. The record is from RNAcentral.